RNAcentral lists this ribosomal RNA (473 nucleotides) under uncultured bacterium. Its description in RNAcentral is "bacterial SSU rRNA". It matches the Rfam family "Bacterial small subunit ribosomal RNA", at positions 335 to 802 of the family's 1533-position model. The record is from RNAcentral.
ACUCCUACGGGAGGCAGCAGUGGGGAAUAUUGCACAAUGGGCGCAAGCCUGAUGCAGCCAUGCCGCGUGUGUGAAGAAGGCCUUCGGGUUGUAAAGCACUUUCAGUCGUGAGGAAGGUAGUGUAGUUAAUAGCUGCAUUAUUUGUACGUUAGCGACAGAAGAAGCACCGGCUAACUCCGUGCCAGCAGCCGCGGUAAUACGGAGGGUGCGAGCGUUAAUCGGAAUUACUGGGCGUAAAGCGCAUGCAGGUGGUUUGUUAAGUCAGAUGUGAAAGCCCGGGGCUCAACCUCGGAAUAGCAUUUGAAACUGGCAGACUAGAGUACUGUAGAGGGGGUAGAAUUUCAGGUGUAGCGGUGAAAUGCGUAGAGAUCUGAAGGAAUACCGGUGGCGAAGGCGGCCCCCUGGACAGAUACUGACACUCAGAUGCGAAAGCGUGGGAGCAAACAGGAUUAGAUACCCCUGGUAGACUGUCA